This 235-nucleotide ribosomal RNA is filed under the name uncultured bacterium. Its description in RNAcentral is "partial 16S ribosomal RNA". It matches the Rfam family "Bacterial small subunit ribosomal RNA", at positions 96 to 334 of the family's 1533-position model. The record is from RNAcentral.
UGGCGGACGGGUGAGUAAUGUCUGGGAAACUGCCCGAUGGAGGGGGAUAACUACUGGAAACGGUAGCUAAUACCGCAUAAUGUCUACGGACCAAAGCGGGGGACCUCCGGGCCUCGCGCCAUCAGAUGAACCCAUAUGGGAUUAGCUAGUAGGUGGGGUAACGGCUCACCUAGGCGACGAUCCCUAGCUGGUCUGAGAGGAUGACCAGCCACACUGGGACUGAGACACGGCCCAG